AUAGUAGGUUGUCUUAUCGCCGCGUAUUUAUACGAGGAGGAAAGUCCGAGCACCAUAGAACAGCAUAGCGGAUAACAUCCGUCGCUCUAACUUGUUAGAGUAGGACAAGUGCAACAGAAAGCAAGUACAGUUCGGCUGUAGUGAAACCAGGUAAACUCUAUGCGGUACAAUGCCAUGUAUAUUGGAGACCUUUUAGUAGGUAAGAGUUGUUCGCUCAAUUCCAAGGGGUAGGCAGAUUGAGAUUGUUGGUAACAGCAAUUCUAGAUAAAUGAUAAGAAGCUUGAACUUGUUUCAAGUUACAGAACUCGGCUUAUAAACCUACUUUUAAU
Molecule: RNase P RNA, 329 nt
Filed under: Wenyingzhuangia gilva
Lineage: Bacteria; Pseudomonadati; Bacteroidota; Flavobacteriia; Flavobacteriales; Flavobacteriaceae
Description: RNase P RNA component class A
Rfam family: Bacterial RNase P class A
About the family: Ribonuclease P (RNase P) is a ubiquitous endoribonuclease, found in archaea, bacteria and eukarya as well as chloroplasts and mitochondria.
Source: RNAcentral